UACGUAGGGGGCAAGCGUUAUCCGGAUUUACUGGGUGUAAAGGGAGCGUAGACGGCAUAGCAAGUCUGAAGUGAAAGCCCGUGGCUCAACCGCGGAGCUGCUUUGGAAACUGUUAAGCUGGAGUACUGGAGAGGCAAGCGGAAUUCCUAGUGUAGCGGUGAAAUGCGUAGAUAUUAGGAGGAGCACCAGUGGCGAAGGCGGCUUGCUGGACAGAGACUGACGUUGAGGCUCGAAAGCGUGGGGAGCAAACAGG
This 253-nucleotide ribosomal RNA is filed under the name uncultured bacterium. RNAcentral's name for it is "partial 16S ribosomal RNA". It matches the Rfam family "Bacterial small subunit ribosomal RNA", at positions 524 to 776 of the family's 1533-position model. The record is from RNAcentral.